GUUUCAGGGCGGGGUGCAAUUCCCCACCGGCGGUGAGCGGCGCAAAGCCGCAAGCCCGCGACCGGCCGUUUUUGCGGCCGCUGACCCGGUGCGAUUCCGGGGCCGACGGUAUAGUCCGGAUGGAAGAAA
Molecule: non-coding RNA, 129 nt
Filed under: uncultured Gemmiger sp.
Lineage: Bacteria; Bacillati; Bacillota; Clostridia; Eubacteriales; Oscillospiraceae
Description: FMN riboswitch (RFN element)
Rfam family: FMN riboswitch aptamer (RFN element)
About the family: The RFN element is a highly conserved domain that is found frequently in the 5'-untranslated regions of prokaryotic mRNAs that encode for flavin mononucleotide (FMN) biosynthesis and transport proteins. This element is a metabolite-dependent riboswitch that directly binds FMN in the absence of proteins.
Source: RNAcentral